ACGAACGCUGGCGGCGUGCUUAACACAUGCAAGUCGAACGGUGAAGCGCCUUCCUUUUUGGUGGGUGUGGAUGAGUGGCGAACGGGUGAGUAACACGUGAGUAACCUGCCCCCUUCUUCUGGAUAACCGCAUGAAAGUGUGGCUAAUACGGGAUAUUCUGGGUCUGUCGCAUGAUGGGUCUGGGAAAGAUAUUGUUUCGGUGGGGGAUGGGCUCGCGGCCUAUCAGCUUGUUGGUGGGGUGAUGGCCUACCAAGGCGGUGACGGGUAGCCGGCCUGAGAGGGUGGACGGGCACACUGGGACUGGGACACGGCCCAGACUCCUACGGGAGGCAGCAGUGGGGAAUAUUGCACAAUGGGCGCAAGCCUGAUGCAGCGACGCCGCGUGAGGGAUGGAGGCCUUCGGGUUGUGAACCUCUUUCGCCAGUGAAGCAGGCCUGCCUCGUUUGUGGGUGGGUUGACGGUAGCUGGAUAAGAAGCGCCGGCUAACUACGUG
This 493-nucleotide ribosomal RNA is filed under the name uncultured bacterium. Its description in RNAcentral is "partial 16S ribosomal RNA". It matches the Rfam family "Bacterial small subunit ribosomal RNA", at positions 29 to 507 of the family's 1533-position model. The record is from RNAcentral.